AUAAAAUAGAAUGCAAAGUUCCUUGAUCCAGUACGCUGUGUUGUUCGGGCAAAAAUAAAGAAGAAAAAAAUUUUAAUGGGUUUCGGAUCUGAUCCGUCUAUCCACUACAUAUAUCAAUUUUUUCUUCACAAUUUAUUUUUUCAAAUUACUCGCACCAUAAAACUGUCGAUGAGUCAGAGUGAAAAUUAGACUCAGUUGUCAAUUUCGAGGCAUGUCUAGCAAAUCAG
This 227-nucleotide long non-coding RNA is filed under the name Ananas comosus (pineapple). Its description in RNAcentral is "long non-coding RNA (ACOM_LNC015600)". The record is from RNAcentral. Lineage: Eukaryota; Viridiplantae; Streptophyta; Magnoliopsida; Poales; Bromeliaceae.